UCAGGGCGUCCGGAGCCUCCACGCGGGCAGUGGCGGCGCGAGUUGUGCGCGGGCGUCGUGUGGGAGGCCGGACUCAGGGUCCCGCCAGAUUUGCUGCCUUUCAGGAGACGCGCGGCCGGUGUGUUCCUGGACGUUCGUGGUUCUGCAUUUGGGCCUUUCCCUUCAGGUCUUGCUGUGUCUACGCCCACCCUGGUCGUCUUGUUGGAGCAAAACAUGGGAGUGCUGGGAUAUGAAGAGAAGUGCAAAUCCCGUCAUCCUCCCAGAUGUCCACACUGGAUUACCUGACUCAAGACAACCCGCCAAAUCAGGGCAGACAUUUGUGGCAAGUUCUUACCGCCAACCGCAAAUUAUCAACCAAUGAGACAUCUGACUUAGGGAAAAAAGGCAAUUUGGACUCAAUUCAUCGUUUGAACCACAAUAUCAAAAAUGGAAACAUUUCAGCAAUGAUGGCUGACAUGGGCCUCCCCGGUGGUGCAACGGUUGAGCGCUGGGUUGCAAAGCUGCCCGCAGUCUCUGCAGUGCCGGUUCAAUCCCCGGCCACCAGUUCAUGUAGUGAUUAUGUAGCUGUUCCUGUUGCUGUUGGUUCUCGUGUCCUCUUGGUUCCUGGGUGAUGCUGUUCGUAUCCAAGGUAGCUGUCUGUCUACAUGGUACAUGGCAUUUUGCAUUGGGGUGUGAGAAGAUUCACCAGAGACAGAGUGGAGAGCAGAACAGGCAGAUGUGCUGAAAUACACUACUGAGGGGAGCAGAUGGUGAGGCAGGAGAGGUCUGAUGUCUUCUGUGGGGGUCAGGUAUCGAACUCUUACUGCAGUGGCUAGCCAUAGCUUGAUAGUGCUGUCUUUAACCCUUGCGCCACCAGGGAGGCCCCCAGAUGUGGUUUUUUUUUUUUUUAAGAUUUAUUCAUUUACAAGAACCGGGGUACAGGCCAGAUGCACGGGAGGGUGAGAGGAUCCACCAGAGACAGAGCAGGGAACGGAACAGGCAGACUGGUGAUAUAGACUGCUGAGGGGAGCAGUGGGUGGCAGGAGAGGUCUGUGCACGAUGUGGGACCCUCCUCUGGUGGCCGGGGAGCAGCCGGGGAUCGAACUGGCGCUGCAAAGGCUGCGGGCAGCUUCACAACCCAGCGCUCAAUCGCUUUGCCACCAGUGAGGCCCCAAAAAUUCACCCACCUUGUUUAAUGAAGCUUUGGCUCAAGACUUGAUGCCUUUUCAGAGCAGUCACCCCCACCUAACACUUCUUCAAUAUGUAGAUGAUGUCUUUCUAGCUGCCUCCAGCCAGGAGCUAUGCGUCAGUGGCACAGAAAAACUUCUCACCACCUUGUAGACGCUAGGUUAUCAGGCCAGUGCAAAAAAGGCUCAAAUCUGCUGUCAACAGGUCACCUAUUUGGGGUACCGACUCAAGGAAGGAAAACGGUGGCUCACUGAAGCCAUGAUAUGCACCAUUUUGGACACUCCUCCGCCCAUGAGCAGGCAUAAGGAAGAAAACUGCCAAAGUCGUCUGUAAGGCUCUACUAGAAGACAUAAUACCCCAGUAUGGAGUUCCACAAGGUUGACGGGAUCUCGGCUUGGAUUCAUUACACCCAUGCGCGGGCUGUAACGGGAGCAGAAGUCAACACCAGCUGGAACAGUGGGAGGUUAAGGCAGACCCUUCCAACCUGCUACGCGUCAGACUCAAACUCCGCCAGCACCCGGACCAAUUCCCAGUGACUGAUCCGAACAAGCCUUCCACCGAGUAAGCCGGCACAAUGACCAGACUGUUCCUGCUCCUGCUGACCCUUCAAAUUGUAUGUGCCUCUCCCCACUCACCCUCUCAGGUGAACCCACAUACCCCGUGGAACGUCACAUGGACUCUUAGCAAUACAAAUACUGGAAAAACAGCUGUCCGAAUCACGCACCUAGCUCCCUGGGGUCUUGGUAUCUGGAUAUAAUUUUUGACCUCUGCGGCCUAGGAGAUGGAAAAUGGGGUAAGUCUGUUCAGGACCCAUCCUGACUAGUCUGGGCCUGCAACAGUGCCAAUGGGCGGAGCCAGAUUAGAAAAAGUUACUUUUACCUUUGCCCGGGACACAAGGGGCGGGCCACCCGCAUCUGUGGAGACCCAAGAGAUUACUACUGUGCAUCUUGGAGCUGUGUCUCCACCGGUUAUAUUUCCUGGACAGCGCCAAAAACAGGGGAUUUUAUUCAGGUUGGCAAGACCCCAGGAUCAGAAACACUGGGUUAUGGCUUUCAUUGGGGGGAGUGGGGGGCAGGUGGGCCUUGUUUGACGAGGGAUUGCACCUCUGUCCUUAAAUUUACCCAGUUAGGUAGAUACCCCAAGCUGCUCCCACAAUGGACUAAAGGAAUGACCUGAGGACUCAAGACUCUAUGCACCUGGCAUAGAUCCGGGUGUCUUGUUUACUCUGAGGGUUUAUGUUCAUUCACGUCAAGAACCCUUGCCACCCAUCCUGCCAGUGGGACCUAAUAAAGUCCUAGGUAAAAUCUUAGGACCAGGUAAGACCCUAGGUCCAUCCCAUCCCCCAGAGCUCGUCACUCUGGCAACCACUGCCUUCUCUCCCUCCUUGAGGUCAGCACCUACCCCGAGCAACUUCCAACGCCCAGUCACACAAAUAGUACAGGCUGCUUAAUCGCCUGAGACUGACCCUUUCCUUGGAAUGCUUGGGCAUGUGUUUCAGGUGUUUAAUGCUUCUCGGCCUGUCUUGACUUCUUCGUGCUGGCUGUGUUAUGACUCAGCCCCUCCCUUCUAUGAAGGAAUCGCUGUCUUUGGAAAUCUCUCCACCUCUAUAAAGGACAGUGGCUGUCGAUGGCAGCAAAAGGCCAAAUUAACCCGGCAACAAGUAUCCAGGCAAGGUCUAUGCGUUGGAGCUGUGCCCCAGUCCCAUGAACAACUAUGCACUCAGUAUGUGACCCUUAGCCCUAACAUGUUCCACUCAUAUAUACUCCCUCCCUUAGACGCUUGGUGGGCGUGUUCCACGGGCCUGACCCCUUGUAUUCAUGGGACAGUCCUAAAUCAGACCCGUGACUUUUGCAUCCUUGUGCAAUUAGUUCCCAAAAUGGUUUACCAUCCAUAUGAUAGCCUCCUUGAUUCUCUGGAGAAAACCACUGGGCCCACAUCCAAGCGGGCUAAGAGGAAACCAAUUACUGCCCUCACUCUCAGUGUAAUUUUGGGUGCCAGUCUAGUAGGGGCCGGUACUGGAACUGCUUCCUUGAUCUCCCAAAAUCACCAGUAUUCCCGCCUACGGGUGGCUGUUGACAUAGACAUUGAAAGACUGGAAGUCUCCAUUUCCCACUUGCAGGAUUCCCUAUCCUCUUUAGCUGAGGUGGUGUUACAAAACCACCGAGGACUGGACCUUAUUCUCUUACAGCAAGGUGGGCUAUGUGCAGCUCUAGGGGAAGAAUGCUGCUUUUAUGUUAACCAUUCAGGGAUUGUUAAGGAAUCCCUUGCUAAAGUAAGGGAAGGUUUAGCUAAAUGAAAAAAAGAGCAAGAGGCUCAGCAGAGGUGGUUUGAAUCUUGGUUUAAUGCCUCCCCAUGGCUAACGACCCUAUUGUCAGCCAUUGCGGGACCUUUAAUUUUGCUCAUGCUAAUGCUAACAUUUGGCCCUUGUAUACUCAAUCACUUGCUUGCUUUCAUCUGCGAACGAGUUAACACAGUACAGAUGCUGGUCUUAUGCAGCCAAUACCUGCAAGUAGAAGAAGUCCAACUGUGAGGCUAGGAUUAGCCUCCUCUCACAGUUACAAGAAAAAGGGGGGAUUGUAAGAUAUUAAAGAAUUAGGCAUAGCAAGACAGCAGCCAUUUUAAGGAAAACAGACAUUUUAAAGGGCACAGCUAUGCCCUAGUUUCAUUUCAGGGCAAAAACCACCAGACGGGUAAAAACCACAAGACAAGUGUAAAUGAAACUUAGCUAGUGCCAAGGAGAGAUAACCAAUCAGGCCGAACUUGGUCCCUGGUGUGAAAAGUCCCCGCAUCCUGUGAACAAAGUACAAAAACAGCUGGGUUGCUCUGGGAGGGGGUCCCUCUCUUAACCUGAUGAGACUGCUGUGUCAGUACACCAGGCAGAGUCAGACCCUAGCUUAAGCUAGCAAUAAAGCCUUUUUGCUUUUGCAUCUCUGGCUCCAUGUGGUCUUUGGGAACCCCGGACGGAGUUGAGGCGCCAACUCCUAACAGGAGAGACUCCAGGUGUACCACCAGACUCUAAUGGCAGGGUUGCGCGCGGCAGCCUGCAAACCCACCAAUUUGGCCAAGGUAGGGGAUGUGCGGCAGGGAAGGGAGGAGACCCCUGUGGCUUUUCUUGAGCACCUCAUGGAAGCUUUUCGGCAAUAUACUCCUAUGGAUCCGGAGGCAGAGGAAAACAAGGCCGUGGGUAAUGGCCUUUGUUAACAAGGCAGCUCCUGACAUUAAACAGAAAUUACAGAGAAUAGAUAGGCUAGGAGAAAAAUCUAUUUGAGAUCUUAUUGAGGUGGCGGAAAAGGUGUACAAUCUACGCGAAACUCCUGAGCUUAUCCGCCAGGAAGAACGGAAGGUAAGGGAGGCUGAAAAUGCACGCCAUGCUCGGGAUAUGGCCAGAAUACCAUUUGCCGUCACUUGAAAGAAUGACCCGGGUAAGCUACCCCCAUUCCACCACCCCAGCUCCACACGCAGGACUCUACAGCGUGAUCAGUGUGCAUACUGUACUCAGAAAGGACACUGGGCCAGAGAAUGCCCAAAGAAGCAGGGGAUGACCUCAAACAACACUGCUGUUUCUGACACUCCUGGUGCUCGGGGGCAUGAGGGAUGACAGUGACUAGGGCCGUCAGGACUCGACCCUCCCCGAGCCCAGGUUAACCUUAAAAGUGGAGGGAAGACCCGUUAAUUUCCUUGUGGACACAGGAGCACAGCAUUCAGUUCUCACCGAACCUUUGGGCAAGCUGUCCGACAACAGCAUGGGCACAAGGGGCUACAGGAUGCAAGCAGUAUCCUUGGACCACUAAAAGGUCCGUGGACUUGGAUAAAGGUCAGGUUUUGCACACCUUCGUUGUGAUCCCUGAAUGCCCGUACCCGUUAAUUGGAAGGGAUCUUUCAACCAAAGUAGGAGCACAAAUCUCAUUUGGACAGGAAAGAGUUGAAAUUAGAGACUCUAAAGGUUCUCCCCUGCAUGUCCUCACCGUUUCUCUUCAAGAUGAAUACCGCCUGUUGCUGACACCAGACCACCCACCCCUUUCCGAGUGGUGGAUAAAGUCCUUCUCAAAUGUUUGGGCAGAAACCGCAGGGAUUGGCCUGGCAUCCCACCGACCACCCAUUAUAGUCCAGCUAAAGGCAGGGGCUGAACCCAUUCGGGUAAAGCAAUACCCUAUGUCUGCAGAAGCCAGGUAGGAAUAACGCCUCAUAUUCGGAGGCUUCUGGACAGUGGUAUCCUUAAAACAUGUCAUUCUCAAUGGAACACCCCUUUACUGCCGGUGCGAAAACCACAUUCGCAAGACUUCUGGCCAGUACAAGACCUCAGCGAAGUAAAUAAAAGGGUCGUAGACAUCCACCCCACAGUCCCAAACCCUUAUACAUUGCUGUGUGCCCUGCCACCUACUCAUGUGUGGUACACGGUGUUGGACUUAAAAGAUGCCUACCACUUGCACCCCAAAGCCAGGAAAUGUUUGCCUUUGAAUGGCAGGAUGCAGAACGUGGUAUCUAUCAGUGGACAAUUAACUUGGACACGAUUACCUCAAGGGUUUAAAAACUCUCCCACCCUUUUUGAUGAGGCCCUUCAUGAGGAUUUGCAAGGAUUUCGCAGCUGGUUUCCUGAAUUAAUUUUGCUACAGUAUGUUGAUGAUCUGUUACGGCAGAGAGUGAGCAUGCCUGCCGGACAGGAACAGCCAAACUACUGACGGAAUUGGGCUGGAUGGGAUACCGCGUUUCUGCAAAAAAGGCGUAAAUCUGCUUGUCUGAGGUAACAUACCUGGGCUAUCGCCUCAAAGAAGGCCACGGGUGGCUGACAGAAGCCAGAAAAGCUACUGUGUUACAGUUGCCGACACCCGCCACCAAAAGAGCGGUACGUGAGUUCCUGGGAUCCGCCUGGUUUUGCCAGCUAUGGAUACCUGGGUUCGCAGACUUAGCUCAACCCUUAUAAGAGGCUACUUGGGAAAAAGUGACUUUUCAGUGAACUCCCCAGAUGCAGCAGUCCUUUGAGUCCUUAAAAAGGGCUUUACUGUCCGCACCAGCCUUGGAUCUUCCAGACAUUACAAAACCUUUCCAUCUGUUCAUAGACGAGGCAAAGGGCAUAGCUAAAGGGG
Molecule: long non-coding RNA, 6251 nt
Organism: Talpa occidentalis (Iberian mole)
Lineage: Eukaryota; Metazoa; Chordata; Mammalia; Eulipotyphla; Talpidae
Exons: 8
Source: RefSeq, a predicted model, not a curated record